GGGGAUUUAGCUCAGCGGUAGAGCACUUGCCUGCGAAGCGCAAGGCCCUGGGUUCGGUCCCCAGCUCCG
This 69-nucleotide transfer RNA is filed under the name Rattus norvegicus (Norway rat). It matches the Rfam family "tRNA". Rfam says of the family: Transfer RNA (tRNA) molecules are approximately 80 nucleotides in length. Their secondary structure includes four short double-helical elements and three loops (D, anti-codon, and T loops). Further hydrogen bonds mediate the characteristic L-shaped molecular structure. tRNAs have two regions of fundamental functional importance: the anti-codon, which is responsible for specific mRNA codon recognition, and the 3' end, to which the tRNAs corresponding amino acid is attached (by aminoacyl-tRNA synthetases). tRNAs cope with the degeneracy of the genetic code in two manners: having more than one tRNA (with a specific anti-codon) for a particular amino acid; and 'wobble' base-pairing, i.e. permitting non-standard base-pairing at the 3rd anti-codon position. Lineage: Eukaryota; Metazoa; Chordata; Mammalia; Rodentia; Muridae. The record is from Rfam by way of RNAcentral.